GCGAGCUUUCCGGGGAAACUUUCCUCUCCACGUAAAAAGUCCUUGGAGAAAACUGUUCCGUGAUCUGCACCGCCGCCGCCACAGGCUUCGGUUGAAGGAGACCCGAAUCCGAGGAGGGAGAAGAAUAGCACUCUCCACAAUCUCCCAGCCCAGCUGUUUUAGGUUUGAGAUCCCAGCAACCAUGUACCCUUCAGUCAAUCUAAUCUCCCAACUGUCGUGCUAGACGAGGAUGAGAGGCGAAUCAUAGAGCAACACAAAUCCAUGCAGAGAUUCACCCGAUACAGUUUGGAGUGGACCACAGACCAACACUACCACCAUGGACUGCGGGGGACCGGCGCCGCUGACGACCCAAUCUGCAACCAUCGCAUCCAUCGUCCAUGAUAAACAU
Long non-coding RNA from Salvelinus fontinalis (brook trout), 388 nucleotides. RefSeq lists it as uncharacterized. The transcript is spliced from 3 exons. The record is from RefSeq and is a predicted model, not a curated record. NCBI's taxonomy places the organism in Eukaryota, Metazoa, Chordata, Actinopteri, Salmoniformes, Salmonidae.